CGGGUGCUAACGUCCGUCGUGAAGAGGGAAACAACCCAGACCGCCAGCUAAGGUCCCAAAGUCAUGGUUAAGUGGGAAACGAUGUGGGAAGGCCCAGACAGCCAGGAUGUUGGCUUAGAAGCAGCCAUCAUUUAAAGAAAGCGUAAUAGCUCACUGGUCGAGUCGGCCUGCGCGGAAGAUGUAACGGGGCUAAACCAUGCACCGAAGCUGCGGCAGCGAACGUAUCACCCAAGACAACUUUACGGAGUUGACGAUUGACGGAGCGAAGCGACGUCAAAGCGUUCAUUAAAGUCGAGUUGGCUUAGGGAUACGUUCGUUGGGUAGGGGAGCGUUCUGUAAGCCUGUGAAGGUGUGUCGUGAGGCAUGCUGGAGGUAUCAGAAGUGCGAAUGCUGACAUAAGUAACGAUAAAGCGGGUGAAAAGCCCGCUCGCCGGAAGACCAAGGGUUCCUGUCCAACGUUAAUCGGGGCAGGGUGAGUCGACCCCUAAGGCGAGGCCGAAAGGCGUAGUCGAUGGGAAACGGGUUAAUAUUCCCGUACUUGGUGUUACUGCGAAGGGGGGACGGAGAAGGCUAUGUUGGCCGGGCGACGGUUGUCCCGGUUUAAGCGUGUAGGUGUGUGUUCCAGGUAAAUCCGGUUCACUUUAACACUGAGGCGUGACGACGAGGCACUACGGUGCUGAAGCAACAAAUGCCCUGCUUCCAGGAAAAGCCUCUAAGCAUCAGGUAACACGAAAUCGUACCCCAAACCGACACAGGUGGUCAGGUAGAGAAUACCAAGGCGCUUGAGAGAACUCGGGUGAAGGAACUAGGCAAAAUGGUGCCGUAACUUCGGGAGAAGGCACGCUGACACGUAGGUGAAGUGAUUUACUCAUGGAGCUGAAGUCAGUCGAAGAUACCAGCUGGCUGCAACUGUUUAUUAAAA
RNAcentral lists this ribosomal RNA (922 nucleotides) under Salmonella enterica subsp. enterica. RNAcentral's name for it is "partial 23S ribosomal RNA". It matches the Rfam family "Bacterial large subunit ribosomal RNA", at positions 992 to 1812 of the family's 2925-position model. Lineage: Bacteria; Pseudomonadati; Pseudomonadota; Gammaproteobacteria; Enterobacterales; Enterobacteriaceae. The record is from RNAcentral.